Aquila chrysaetos chrysaetos is the source of this 3457-nucleotide long non-coding RNA. RefSeq lists it as uncharacterized. The transcript has 3 exons. NCBI's taxonomy places the organism in Eukaryota, Metazoa, Chordata, Aves, Accipitriformes, Accipitridae. The record is from RefSeq and is a predicted model, not a curated record.
AGCACUUGAAAUACUGCUGCAAGUGACUCAACGCUGCCUGAAAAUGGUGCAGACCACAGCAAGUGGGGUCGUACGUGGCUGGAGCCUUUUUGAGGAGCUGAGGAGCAACCUCUACUUCAUUUGUCUUAAAUUUUGAACAUGACACCUGGAUAAAACAAAUGUUUUGCAGCUUGAUGAAUUGUUUGCCUGCUUUGUUCAAACUGUGUGUUGCAUACUUUGAAAUACAGAGCCCUGGCAGUCCCUGGGGCUCUGCUUUCUGGUUGUCUUCCUGGCUUUCACAGAGCCGGGGGUGAGGCAGAUGACCUGUGGGUCUUGCACAGGGACUCGUACCAGCAUCUUGUGGUCACUGGCUUAUGACGGCACAGAGUAAGUCCUUCCUCCAGGGGUCUGCAAUCUAAACAGACAUCGUGUAGCGUAGUCUUCCCACUGUUAGAGAUGUGGGACUGAAUGCCUGGAGAGGCUGAGGAGAGGCUUCCCUUUUUGCAGUAAACCCCUUUCUGUGCGUGGUCUGAACUGACUCGAUUUUCCCUGAAGUGGAGUGGGAAGGACUGGGCUGCUCAGCUGAGAGGGGCGAGAGAUGGUACAUGUUCCUGGGCUGUGCUGGAGACAGGGCCAUCAGCUGACACAUCCCGUCAUCUGGCACGCAGAAGAGGAUGUGUUUUACUAGUGUGAGUUACAGCUCAUUCCCAGCGUAACGCAGGAACUCAGUGACUGGGGAGUGAAGGAGACAUGAAUUUCUGUUUCACAGGAUUCAAAGUCAGCAUAUUUUUUAAGACUAAAUAUUUAAAUCUCAGUAUUCAGUGUUUUCACAUUUCUCGCUACUUCAGUAAAAUCUAAACAUUAAUGAACAUUUUUAACAUUUGAUUUGGAGAAGCUAGGAACUGAGCAAACCCCACUAGCCCUUUUUGAGCCCUUGGUCUGUUUUAGUAACUUCAGCUAGCUUUCCUCUCUCAGAAUUACAUUUUGUCUUUGUCUUUGUCCUUUCAUGCUUUUGCCUGUCACAUACCAGCUUUAUGUGAAGCCAGCGUUACUAAGGACAGAUUCCUGCGGUCAGUGUUCCCAUUAUCAGAUUUUGUCAGAAGAGCUCUGCUGGUUCAGAAGCAAAGAAGAAAUUUGGCUUGAUCAGGAUACCCACAUGCUGCAUAUAAAACACCCAGAGACUCUUCGGCUGUAUUCCUACCUGAUUUGGGCUGAUGGAAGCAGGAAGCUACUGUACCACACCACCAGAGCUCCAGUCUCAUUUUACUGUCUCUUCUUCCACCUCCUGUAUGCUGCCUUUCUGUGCUGAAAGUCUACAGAGUCUCCUGUUUAGCCAAGCCAGCUCCUCUUACAUCCACCCAUCUUCCAGAAUAUCAAGAUGGGCCCCACCUGUCCUUGGAGGAUUCCGUCCUUAAAGGCUUGCCAGCUCUCCUGAGAUCCUUUCAGAGCUGCCCCAUGGCAUCCCACCUACCAGUUCCCCGAACAAGCAGCAGCCUCCUCGCCCGGAGUCCCAGGUCUGUGCUGCAGUCCUUUCUCACUCCUCACGGGGUCUUGUACCCCGCUAUUGAGCAGUCGCUACAGCCGUGGAUACCACCGACUGCCCUGUCCCCCACCAGAUCUUCUUUGUCAGUGCUGGGGAGCAUCACCCUGCUUGGUCCACCCAAUACCUCUAUCAAGAUGUUCUCCCUGACACCUCUAGAAAUCUUCCUCAACACUUGUGUCCUGCUGUGUUGCCCUUCCAGCAGAUGAAAGGAGGUGAAAGUGCCCCAAAGAACAAGGGUCUGUGAUACGAAGGCUUGAGCUGUCUAAAGAAGUCUUCGUGUUUGCCCUCACCCUGAUCAGGUGAGGUGGCAUCCUCCCACGGUGAUGCCACCCUCGCUGGUUUCUCAUCUGAUUGUGACCCAUGAGCCCGCGCCCAGCCCGUCGCCUAUCCCAUGGAAAUGCUCUGCACCUCUGAGCUGCUUCUUCGCCCAGAGGGCAUCUCCUCUCCUUUUCUUCGUUGCCUGUCUUACCUGCAGAGCCGGUACCCACCCGUGCAGGCAGUCCCAGCAGCUCUCCAGCGAUGCCGCUGCCCUGUGGCCCCACUGGACUGCUCAUCCCUCCGGGUUGUUUCGCAGGCUGUGCACACUAGAUGGGGGAUGCCUCCUUUCACCCUCUUCCUGAUGUCUCUUGUUCUCAUCGCCCUACACACUUUAUUAACCAUGUCAAAUUUGACCCUGGGCUCGGUUUUAAAAAAAAAUAGAAAACUAGACUCCUUUUACAGACCUCAAGUGUUUGUUUAGCUGCAAACCUGAAUUUAAGUCUUUCUCCAGGUUAAGUUCCUCGCCUAGGUCUAUAGCUGCUGGCACUCAGAAAGAUAAAUAGAUCAAAAUGUUCCCAAAAUGAGGACUGGGGGGGGGGGUGUCAAGAUGACCUGAGGCUUCUGUCAUGUCACUGUACCUGUACCCCUUGCUCAUGUGCUGUCACUGCUGCCUAAAACAAAUCCUCAGCGUGUGAAAUUGUAAUGUGAUGGUGGAGCUGGAGUCCCCUCGUACACAGGAGGUGGAGCAUCUGAGGCUUUCAGAGAUAAUUAGGAAGACUGUUUCCCAAGUGUAGAAGAUGAGAUUCUCUUCAUUGGCAGGAAAAGUGCUAAUUAACUGUGCCUACGAGCCGUAACACUUUCCUAAUGAACAAGCCAUGAGCUUUAUGAAAGUACCUCAAAAGACACGGAGAGAACCGCUUCCAGCUGAGCCAAACCCAGCACAUCUCCUCGUGUCGGCCAGACAGGGUGAGAGCGGCUCCAUUUAACAGCCUUUUGGAGGGUUGCCGACGCUGUGCAAUUAAAAGCAAGCCUGCAAGAAGCAAGAGCAUCGGUGCUCAGCCGUGGCAGCGAGUGAGAGCGUGCCAGGAGGAGAGGUGUUUCCCGGGAGCCUGCUGAAGCCGCGCUGGCUCCGACUUGCGACAUCGUCCUCCGACCUUGCCUGAAAAUACACCGCGUUCAAGAAAAAAACCAAAGCAUCUGAGGACAGAGUGAAAGCAAAAUGUUGCAGGGAAGAGAGCCAGCUCAGCAGGAAGAUGCGGAGUUCGUGUAAUUGGAGGUGCAUGGGAGUGCCUUGGGAUGAAGGAGACUUUAAACCGAGAGGAAGGAUUAGUCCUUUCUGGGUAAAGACGAAAUGGGAGAAAUGGGUUGAUUCACUGCCUCCACACUAACAGCAAAUGAGAUGGGUCUGUAUUUCCAUCCCUUCUUUUGCAGGCAGUCAAAACCAAAAGAGGUCUUCAGAGCUUUUACAUUCUGCAACAUAAUAGCCAAAAAAAUGGCACUGAGAAGAAAUCAUUUGUUUCCUUAUUUUUUAUGCAUUUUUGAUGAAAGGCCCCGUGUUGGAUUGUCUUUACAGUGUUAGCAUAAAUACAAGUAAUGGAAAGAGAGAAUAGAAAUGGCCAUCCAUUUGGAGAAAUUAAAAUCUUUUAAUAUAAUAACAAAUUAAAUUCUUGUUAUGAA